This 202-nucleotide unclassified non-coding RNA is filed under the name uncultured Polyporaceae. RNAcentral describes it as "sequence contains ITS2". Lineage: Eukaryota; Fungi; Basidiomycota; Agaricomycetes; Polyporales; Polyporaceae. The record is from RNAcentral.
UAUUCUCAAAUCCCCUUGCUUUUGUGAGGCUUGGAUUUGGAUUUGGAGGUUUGCGGGCUGACUUUGUUGUUCCGCUCCUCUUGAAUGUAUUAGCUGGAACCUUUUGCUAGACCGGCUUCGGUGUGAUAAUUAUCUGCGCCGUGGUUGUGAAGGCGACUUUGUUGAGGAUCCGCUUCCAAUUGUCUUACUGGACUAUUCUGAC